This 189-nucleotide ribosomal RNA is filed under the name uncultured marine bacterium. RNAcentral's name for it is "partial 16S ribosomal RNA". It matches the Rfam family "Bacterial small subunit ribosomal RNA", at positions 338 to 524 of the family's 1533-position model. The record is from RNAcentral.
CCUACGGGAGGCAGCAGUGAGGAAUAUUGGGCAAUGGAGGCAACUCUGACCCAGCCAUGCCGCGUGCAGGAUGACGGUCCUUUGGAUUGUAAACUGCUUUUAUUUGGGAAUAAACCCUUCUACGUGUAGAAGGCUGAAUGUACCAUUUGAAUAAGCACCGGCUAACUCCGUGCCAGCAGCCGCGGUAAU